RNAcentral lists this transfer RNA (75 nucleotides) under Prevotellamassilia sp. RNAcentral describes it as "tRNA-Pro". It matches the Rfam family "tRNA". From Rfam's summary of the family: Transfer RNA (tRNA) molecules are approximately 80 nucleotides in length. The record is from RNAcentral. Lineage: Bacteria; Pseudomonadati; Bacteroidota; Bacteroidia; Bacteroidales; Prevotellaceae. RNAcentral also lists the same sequence under 1 other name.
CGGGGUGUAGCGCAGUCCGGUUAGCGCACUUGGUUUGGGACCAAGGGGUCGCAGGUUCGAAUCCUGUCUCCCCGA